AGUUCACGUAACAUUCAAUCAAUUAUACCAUUGCUCUAUCUCUAAAGUUUUCUUUUUCUCCUUUUCUCAGUGUCUUACCAAGAAUGAAAGGCAACCUAUGUAAAAACUAUGGGCUUUCUAGUAUAAAUAAAAACUACUCAUCUCCAGAAAAUAAACAAUGACUGCUAAGAUGAUUGAAAAAAGAAAGGAGAAGAAAGUAGCUUGUAAAAGCGUGUGAAAUGCAUUCACGUUGGAAUCUCCUACAGGCACUUCAGGUCAAAGACUACCGAUGUCCAGAUCAUAAUGCGAGGACAGUUUGAGCCCAGUGCUCUCUGACUGAGGUAGAACCCCCGGGAAGGUGAAGAGGGCAGCCGUCUGCGAAACAGCCCAGCAUUUAAGAAUGGGCAGCACCUGGCCAGGUGCAUUUGAGAACUAGGAAUGUGGCAACAAUAACAUUUAUUUAUUUGGAUGAAGAGAAGAAGAUGUAUUGGAUUCCCUGAAACAAUCAUUGACCUGCCUGAAUCCCAACUGUUGCACUGACUCCACUAAUUCACCAAUCCACUUGAGCUGGGAGGAGAGCCCAUGCACAGAAGUUUAUGGAUAAACAGACCUGAACGUCUAGCAUGAUGUCAAAUUUAUAUGGCCACAGAACUACAAAAGGAAAUAACUAUAACCUCACUGACCACAGUGCUGCUGACACUUGGACAACAUGGGUUUGAGCUUCAUGGGUCCACUUAGACAAUAAUUUUUUCACUAACUAUAUUGGAAAUGUUUUUGGAAAUUUAUAACAGUUUGAAAAAUAUUGUAGACCAACAUGUAGCCUAGAAAUAUUAAAACAUUAAGAAGCAAGUAUGGCAUGAAUACAUAGAAUAUAUGUAGAUACUAUUCUAUUUUAUCAUUUACUACUAUAAAUAUAUGCAAAUCUAUUAAAUGAGGUUAACAUUUAUCAAAGCAUGUGGUCACAAACUCUUAUAGUUUGUACAUGGCACCAUUUACAGACAAGGAAAUAGAAGCCAAUGUAAAAAUGCAGUAUUAAGUCAUAACCGCAUAAAAGUAACUGUGGCACAUACUGCACUACCAUGAUAAUUUCACAGGCACCUCCCACUGCUAUUGUGGUGAGCCCACGUGUUGUGAGCUUCCGCAUAAAGCCCUGCAAUUCUGAUCAUUGCCACGUGGGCAGUUUGUGUCUCUAGUUAGUUGUGUACUGUAGUAAAAAGUGAUCUCGCAGUUCUUGCAUAAUUUCCGUGUUUAGUGCGAUAUGGUAAACAUUGAAUAGCACCAUGAAACCCACACGAAGGGCCACUGGUGAUGUUGGAAGGCUCCCAAGAAGCAGAGAAAAUUCAUGACAUUACAAAAUCAGUCAAAUUUCUUCAUAUGCACUGUAGAUUGAGGUCUGCAGCUGGGGUUUCCCAUUGUUUUAAGAUAAAUGAAUCAGCCUAAAGAUCAUUGUAAAAAAAGAAAAAGAUAUUGGAGAGGCUAUAACUGCAGCUAUGCCAGCAACAGCAGUAGUUACAUUUCUGAAGAGACAAAAUUUGUCAGUGGGUUUUCAAGAGCUCAAGGGUAACACCCUAACCCCCACGUUGUUCAAGGGUCAACUGUAUUGCAGUCAAAAACAGAAAUUUAAAAAAAAAAUUCCUUCAAAAAAAUAAAAUUGUAUUACACACUUGCUAAUCCAAUUUUGACACACAAUUUUCUUCACCAUCAAUAUAAGAUAUGCUAUGCCAGGUUUCCUUAUUUGUAAUAAUUCAUGUAUUACUUAUAGUUUGCUUUAGAUAUGGUGGUUCUUUGUGUAAAAUGUAUUUGUUUAUUUUUAUUAUUUAUUUAUUUCUUAUUUUUCAUUUUUGAGACAGAGUCUCACUCUGUCGCCCAGGAUGGAGUGCAGCGGCAUGAUCUCAGCUCACUGCAAUCUCCUCCUCCUGGGUUCAAGUGAUUCUCCUGCCUCAGCCUCCUGAGUAGCUGAGAUUACAGGCAUGUGCCAUCAUGCCCAGCUAAUUUUUCUAUUUUUUUAAUAGAGACGGAGUUUCACCAUGUUGGCCAGGCUGGUCUUGAACUGACCUCAAGUGAUCUGCCCACCUCAGACUCCCAAAGUGCUGGGAUUACAGGUGUGAGCCACCAUACCUGGACUUCUUUGUGUAAAAUUUAAAUGCUUCUUUUUUUAGCUAAGAAACAUAAAACUUUCUAUUCAUAUUUUACCUUUUCUCCCUUUUUGCAAAUAUGUAUGAUACCUUAUUCUUGUGGUAGAAUGUUACACAUAGAAAUAAAAGAUUUAGUUAGCAACAGCAAACCUGAAAAUGGAUUAAUGAAAUAUUUAAGACAGGGCAAGCAAGUCCAUUUCCGAAUGAUGGGUGUUUGCAUUUAUCCAGUGGAGCUGCUGUUCAUGGAGACACAGCAGCAUCCCCCGAGAAGGCUGAUAGCCCUGGCUUCCCUUCCCUUCAGGGGCAGGAGAAAGCUGAGCCUCUGGUGCUGUGUUUGACAACACAGACACAGCUUGGAGGUCUUGCGGGCUUGGUUCCAGACCCCUGCAGUAAAGUAAAUAUUAAAUAAAGCAAGUUUUACACAGGUAUUUGGGUUUCCCAGUGCAUGUAAAAGUUAGGCUUACACUAUACUAUAGUCUAUUAACUGUGCAUUGGCAUGAUGUCUAAAAAAUGUACAUAGUUAACUAAAAAUAUUUUAUUGCUAAAAAUGGUAACAAUCAGUAGUGAAUUUUUUCCAGAUGUUUUCAAUUUACUUUGCCCAGACCCAUCAGAGGAAUCAUUAUCUGUGGCAGUUUUAACCAUAUCACAAGUAUUUCUUAAGUAGUAAAACUUAAAAGUCAACAUUACUCUUUGAUCCAUGGGCUGCAGAAUGGGUGUUGUGUUUGCAGACAUGAAACAGUAUUAAUCUUCUUGCACAUCUCCAUCAGACCUCUUGGGUCACCAGUGGUACUGUUAAGGACCACUAAUAUUUUUAAAAGAAUCUUUCUUUUUUUUUCUUCCUGAGCAGUAGGUCUCAACAGUGGGCUUAAAGUGUCUAGUAAACCAUGCUGUGGACAGAUGUGCUGUCACCCAGGCAUUUAUAACGCACAAGGCAGAUUAGGUUCAGUACAAUUCUUAAGGGCCCUAAGACUUUUGGAAUGGAAAAUGAGCACUGGCUUCAAUUUACGGUCACAAGCUGCAUUAACUCCUACUAAAUGAGCUAGCGUGUUAUUUGAAUCUUUGAAGUCAGGCAUUGGACUUCUGUCUAGCUGUAAAAGUCCUCGAUGACGUCUGCUUCCAAAAGAAUGUUGCUUAAUCUACAUUGAAAAUGUAUUAUUUAGUGUAGCCACCUUCAUCAGUGAUCUUAGCUGGAUCUUCUGCACAAGUUGCUGCAGCUUCUCCAUCAGCACUUGCUGCUUCACCUUACACGUCAUGUUAUAGAGUUGGCUUAUUUCCUGAAACCUCAUGAACCAACCUGUGCUAGCUCCAAACUUUUCUUCUGUACCUUCCUAAUCUCUCUCAGCUUUCAUAGAAUUGAAAAGAGUUAGGACUUUGCUCUAGAUUCAGUUUUGGUUUAAGGAAAUGUGGUUGGUUUUAUGUUCUGUCUAGAAUGCUCACACUUUCUCCAUAUCAGCAAUAAGGCUGUUUUGCUUUUUUGUCAUGCAUGUGUUCACUGGAGUAACAUUUUUAAUUUCCUUUUAGAACUUCUUUGCAUUCACAGCUUGGCUAACUGCUUGGUGCAAGAUGCCUUGCUUUUUGUCUAUCUCUUCUUUUGACAUGCCUUCAUCACAAAGCUUAAUUCUUUCUAGCUUUUGUUUUAAAGUGAGAAAGGUACAACUUUUCUUUCAUUUGAACAUUUAGAGGCCAUCGUAGGGUCAUUAACGGGCCUAAUAUCAAUAUUAUUGUGUCUCAUGAAAUAGUGAGGCCUAAGCAGAGAGAGAGAGAGAGAGACGGGGGAAUGGCCAGUCAGUGGGGCAGUCAGAAAACAUGUAUUUAUCUAUUAAGUUUACAGUCUCAUAUGGGCACAGUUCAUGGUGCCCCAAAACAAGGUCAAUAGUAACAUAAAGAUACCGAUCACAGAGCCCCAUAGCAGAUACAAUAAAAAUAGAACCAUUUGAAAUAUUAUGAGAAUUACCAAAAUGUGACAGAGGUAGAAAGUGAACACAUGCUGCUGGAAAAAUGAUGUCAAUUGAUGAGCUUAAUGCCGGUUGCCACAUACCCUCAGUUUGUAAAAAACACAUUAUCUGCAAAGUGAAAUCAACUGAAGUGCAGUAAAAUGAGGUGUGCUUCUACUUUGUCUCGAGAAGUUUUAUUUAAGGCAUCCAGGACCUGGUGCACCAACUUCCAGGACUCCCCAAGUCCAUUCAUCUUCUCUCCCGAGCAUAGCUCUCCCAGCACCCUUCUGCCACCCCUGGAGAGCCCUUCACAGAGCCGGACAGGGGACCUGGGGUCUAGCACGAACAGGUUCAGCAGCCCUGGCUCGCCCACCCCUUCGAGGUAAUACAACCUCCCCGGGGGUUCCUCCACUCUAUGGGGCAGAGCCAGGCCAUCAGUCUCUGUGCAAAAGUCAAAAUAUUGACCAUACUGCAUUGAAAUUUUUUUUAUAAAAGAAACUUUGGGAUGUAAGUUUUUUUUUUAAAAAAAAAAAGAAAGAAAAAACACUUGGUGUGGAGAAUGAAACUAAUAUCAGCCACUUACUAUGCCAAGCUUAGUGCUAAAUGUUCCACUGACAUAUUUUAUGUAUGUUAGCAAUAAAAGAAAAGGCAAAGCUUGAAAUGUUUUUCAUUUCUAUCUACACUCCAUGUGUGUCUCAUUUUAUAAUAAAAAUCAUGCUGACAAGUAGCAGAGUAUCUCAAUAAA
This 4793-nucleotide long non-coding RNA is filed under the name Homo sapiens (human). RNAcentral describes it as "non-protein coding LINC00702:8". Lineage: Eukaryota; Metazoa; Chordata; Mammalia; Primates; Hominidae. The record is from RNAcentral.